UGGCUUAUGUCUCCAGCUACCCAUUAUGGGUGCUCAUUUCUUCAGUUAUCCAAGUUCAUGUCCAAGAAGUCAACCUUGAUUUUUCACACUUCCUAACAGUCUGCAUUCAAUCAGAUGCCAAGUAUCAUUGAUUUCAACUCAUCACCAUGUCAUGUGAGCAAAAGGAUCAUAUAGAAGACUCCUACUUUUCCUCCACACACUAUUUGUUAACAAUGCAUGCUUUGGGGUUAUUAUCUUACCUCCUGAUGCAAGAAGUGAGGGAUGCCAACUAAGGGAUUUGUGCUGAUUUAUUGCAACUAUGGUAAAAGUAUGUGCAUCCCUUUAAGAGGAUUAGUGUGGCAAUAUGAAUAUUGUAGUG
RNAcentral lists this long non-coding RNA (358 nucleotides) under Monodelphis domestica (gray short-tailed opossum). Its description in RNAcentral is "lncRNA (ENSMODG00000046447.1)". The record is from RNAcentral. Lineage: Eukaryota; Metazoa; Chordata; Mammalia; Didelphimorphia; Didelphidae.